CUCCGCCGGGGAAGGAGCCCGACUUCCUCCACGCCGCUCGAGUGUGCGCUGCGAUCGGCAGGAAAUGGCCCGGACGCGAAGCCUGCGCCUUGGCAGUCCGCGCUCGCUCCGCAGAAGAGAACCGUCUCCUACCCAAGCCUCCCCGUCUCCCCAGAGCCUCGCGCAGAGGGAAUGCGAUGAGGAUGUCACAGGAUGGCAGGUGCUAUGGGACGUUACUUCCUCUGCCACGAACACCCCUGGAAACGUGCUCAUUACGCAGCAUUGCAUCUUUCGGCUUUGGUGUAGCUGCUCGCUAAAUGUCCCUGCACUAGAACGUUGUCCUUAUAAGUAGGUGGAGGGACAGUAUGGGCUGGGGGUGAGAGCUCAAAACUAGAAGAGCUUUGAUCAGGUGACAAUUUUGUGCUGUUUAUAGACAAGUUGUUUGUGCUAUCAGUUUCCGUACAGAUCAUGAAAUGGCAAGCCAAUGUGGGUUUUGUUUAAUGUUUGCAAAUUCUAAAUUAUUGAAAUACUUGUUAGUGAAGCCA
This 524-nucleotide long non-coding RNA is filed under the name Fukomys damarensis (Damara mole-rat). RNAcentral describes it as "lncRNA (ENSFDAG00000021880.1)". Lineage: Eukaryota; Metazoa; Chordata; Mammalia; Rodentia; Bathyergidae. The record is from RNAcentral.